Molecule: transfer-messenger RNA, 367 nt
Filed under: Pseudomonadales
Lineage: Bacteria; Pseudomonadati; Pseudomonadota; Gammaproteobacteria
Description: GCA-002728675 sp002728675 Standard tmRNA
Rfam family: transfer-messenger RNA
About the family: Bacterial tmRNA, also known as 10Sa RNA or SsrA, is named for its dual tRNA and mRNA-like properties. Its role is to liberate the mRNA from a stalled ribosome.
Source: RNAcentral
GGGGGCGACUUGGCUUCGACGCCGGUUGCGAAACCUGAGGUGCAUGUCGAGAGGGUAGUGACUCUCGUUAAACAAUCGCUGUAACUUUUAUAGUUGCCAACGACGAAAACUACGCACUAGCUGCCUAAAAACCCUUUAGGUUAGCUUGACCCGGGGCGGAUUUGCCCAUGAAUCCAAACCGGGUGCACGUCUCAUGGGAUCGCUGCCAGACCCCGCUUGUGGUGGAAGCAGUCAAAACUGAAGCAAGCUCGCCCUUCUACUCCCUGUUCGCCGGGCUAGGGGAGGGUUAAACAAUAGACGAACUAAACAUGUAGAGCUGAGGGCGGAGGGCUGACGGACGCGGGUUCGAUUCCCGCCGCCUCCACCA